RNAcentral lists this non-coding RNA (46 nucleotides) under Schistosoma bovis. The record is from RNAcentral. RNAcentral also lists the same sequence under 1 other name. Lineage: Eukaryota; Metazoa; Platyhelminthes; Trematoda; Strigeidida; Schistosomatidae.
GCACUACUGAAGAGUCCCAUACUAGGACGAAACGGCCGUCCAGUGU